Molecule: long non-coding RNA, 353 nt
Filed under: Lathyrus oleraceus (garden pea)
Lineage: Eukaryota; Viridiplantae; Streptophyta; Magnoliopsida; Fabales; Fabaceae
Description: Pisum sativum (pea) long non-coding RNA (PSAT_LNC004261)
Source: RNAcentral
GAGAAUGGGGUUCAUUAUUUUGGCAAACAGGAGAGUGGGGUUCAACUGCGGAGAUCCGAGGAUCAUUUGCGAAAGAAAAAUUUCGGGGUUCAAGAAAAUGAAAAAAAGAAGAGAAAAAUUUCGGGGUUCAAGAAAAUGAAAAAAAGAAGAGAAAAAUUUCGGGGUUCAAGAAAAUGAAAAAAGAAGAGAAAAAUUUCGGGGUUCAAGAAAAGCAUAAAAAAAAAGAGAAUAAUAAUCCCGAGCGGAUGUGGUGUUCAAACCAUGGUUAUCCCUGUGUUACCAUUUAUUUUGGUAUCCAGGUCGACGUUUUGGUUUCAAGAUUGUUCUUCGCCGAUUCUGACAGGCGUUGUUAA